GCUCAAGUAGGAAGACAAAGGCAACCAUAUGUGGGGCCAGUCAAGAUAACAGUAAACCAGAAGCAAAUGUCAUUUCACAUUUGGGAGAAGAAAUGGAAAAAAUAUUGAAGUUUCUUUUUCUGUCUGCCCACUGAGACAUUUUCCCCUGAGAACAUGAAAUAUCCAAUUAAAAAAAGACCCAAACCCAAAUGAAGACCUGUUCCGAGAUGCUAUGGAGAAAGUAUGUCUUUUGUUUUUCAGCACUGGACAGCACAAUGACCGUAACCUUCUGGGAGAUGGAAUGCAGUAUUUUCAAUGUUUGAAAACUUGAAGAAAUGUUUCCAGGGACAUCACUUCUUCUUAUGUAUAUUUACUGAGAAGAGAAAUAAAUUCAGUGGCUUGUCAUCAUGUUGCAAUACAUAGGAAACAUUCAAAGGUGACUUAAGAUGGAAAAAAAAGGACACUUUAUGGUGGUAAUACAUAGAUAAGCAAAAGUAAUUUGAAAAAGGUAAGUGGAACUAGGUACAGGUUUUGCUGAUGCUACCAAAGUCCACAGUACUAUGUACUUUUGGAGGAAAAUGAAAAGGUACUAUGGCCUCAUGAGAGGACUGGGUCACAAAG
RNAcentral lists this long non-coding RNA (600 nucleotides) under Heterocephalus glaber (naked mole-rat). RNAcentral describes it as "lncRNA (ENSHGLG00100029332.2)". The record is from RNAcentral. Lineage: Eukaryota; Metazoa; Chordata; Mammalia; Rodentia; Bathyergidae.